This 9255-nucleotide long non-coding RNA is filed under the name Malus domestica (apple). RNAcentral describes it as "long non-coding RNA (MDOM_LNC005556)". The record is from RNAcentral. Lineage: Eukaryota; Viridiplantae; Streptophyta; Magnoliopsida; Rosales; Rosaceae.
CAUAUAUAUUGGCCAAACAAAAUCAAAUCAACCAUCUGCCCUUAUAGCAUGAAAUUCUAAGCACUCAAAUGUCUGCCACAAAAAAGAUUUUAUAAUUACUCCUGUACUCUCUAUAUAUCUCCAACCCCUAUUCCUCAUAUAAUUCCCACUCACUCAUUCUCACCUCUUCCUAAACCAAACCCUAACUCUCCCUCUCUCUCUCUGGCGCUCAACUCUGACAGAGCCAUGGCCCUCACACGUGCCAUGCUUUUCCUCACAAUGUCACUUGCUGUUGUAGCACCGACAUCUUCCACCCCAUCAACGCCCAUCACCAUGGCACCUUCGCCGAUGACUAUGAUGGCACCACCGCCAAUGUCUAUGAUGACGCCGUCGCCUAUGAUGACGCCACCGCCUAUGAUGACGCCGUCGCCUAUGAUGACGCCGCCGCCUAUGAUGACGCCACCGCCUAUGAUGACGCCGCCACCUAUGAUGACGCCGCCGCCUAUGAUGACGCCUAUGAUGACGCCGCCGCCUAUGAUGACGCCUAUGAUGACGCCGCCGCCUAUGAUGGCAACGCCGCCUAUGAUGACGCCGCCGCCUAUGAUGACGCCAUCGCCUAUGAUGAUGCCACCAACCCCAACUCAAAACUCAGGUUUUGUGCAUGGAAGUAGCAUGGCCUUGGUGGCAUUCUUGGGUGGACUUGCACUACUUUUUUAAUCACAAAAAGGCCCUCGUUUGAUAUUUACAUGUAGAUUAGAGAUGGUAUAUCAUCAUUAUGUGUAUUCUUUGUUUUCCAUAUUUCUUCUUUUAAAACUUUUUUUACCCUUUCUUUUAUUUUUGAUUUUUGUUGACGACUUUUGGGAGCUCCAUGUUAUGAUAAUUUGUGAAAGGAGGGUGAUGAUAGUUUGGAGGACACAAUUUGUUGGAUGUACUUAAUUAAUAGCAGCUCUUGUUUUGUAGCAUUUUCAUGAGGACUUUAAGAAUAAAGAGAGACCCCCUCAUUCUUGUUUGUGUUUCCAAAUCUUAUACAAUCUAAUUUCCUAAGCGUAGAUACACGUUAUGUAUAUUGUUCACUUCAAUUUCAUAUGGUUAAGCAAUGAAACAAGUCUCACAGCUUUAGAACCAGACUUAUACUGUAAUUAAAAAAAAAGAAAAAUUAUUAUCCGGUCUCUAGUUACUAAUGUUUAUUGACUGAAACUUUAUUAGUUUUCAAAUUUUGAUCAUAGUCAUUAGCAUCAAUGCAAUAAUGAAUUUACAUGUCAAUUACAUAAUUUUUAAAAUAAAAAUUAAUAAUUGAUUUAGAAUUUUAAUACUCACACCUUUAUUAAACUCCUAACUAAUUUUCAAUUCAAAAAAUUUCCAAAAAAAAAAGAAUAAGUUUGUACCCCUCAAGUUUUUUAGAAAAAGGCUUUCAAAUUUUUAAUCUUAUAUGUACACAUUCAUGUAAUUUUUCAAUUUUUUUAAUCUUAAAAUGUACUAUACCAAUUUGUUGUAUGCAAAAUGUACCCAUUUUUUUUUAUAUAAAAUUUAUUCAAUUUUUUUUUAUUUCUAAUACAUCUUUAAACUUAUAUGGGUACAUUUUUUUUAAUUAUUUGAAAAUAUAUCCAUAUCAAGUUUAAUCGAAGAAACUUACUAAUGUUAUUAAGCCUAAUAUCUACUAGUUUUUAUGUGGUUUUGAAGAAUGUAACAAUAUUUUGGUACAACAAUUUUUUUUGUUAAUUUUGAUGAAUGUACCCAUGUUUAUACACACAGACACACACAAAAUAUAUUGGAGAGUAUAAUUUAUAAUUGAAUAUUUUUAAUCCACAAAUUAUGAGUUUUUUUAUUAUUUAAAAUCUCAUUAAUAUAAAUAACUAUAUAUUUCAAUUUUUAAUUUAAAAAAUAUAGUAACAUACAUAGAAUUACGUUAUCACAUUAAUUUCAGGGAUUUCAAUCAAAAAUUGAAAACCAACAAGGUUUCAGUAAAAAAAUAAUGAUAAUUAAGGACUGUAUCUAAAGUGCCCCAAAUGCUGGAUAUGUAGAAAAUGCACCAUAAAACAUUACAAAGACACGAAGGAUUUGCAAAUAACACAUUGAAAGCUAAUCCCUCUCAUAUGACUUUAUAACGCUCACAUGAAGUAUUUUCUUUAUAACCUGACUUUCAAUUCUAUGGUUUAGAAAUCUCUCACCCAAUAGCUUUAUGCUUAUUAAAAACAAAAAGCCAUAACUACAUUUACAUAACCCAAUAAUCAAAUAAUGAUCAUGUUCUACAAAAAAAAAAAAAAAAAAAAUACUGACCAUGAAAGUUCUAAAUUAAUUUCUCAACAUUGUAAUGUUGGAAAAUAUUAUUAUUUAGUUUAUUUUAAUGUUUGGUAUUUUAGGCUUAGCCCGUUAGAAUUAGGUUUUGUUAGAGAUUAUGGUUAGUUUAUUAUAAAUAGGGUGCUUUGUUAUUCAUUAGAAAAUAAGUCAUUCACAAUGUAGUCUCUAGGGUUUUUGUAGCCGUCUCGGCAUUCUCAAUUUGUUCAAUAAAAUUCCUAUUAUUUUGUAGUCUUAUUUGUUCCGCACUUUGAUAAUCAACUUGGUAUCAGAGCAGGUUUGAUCAUUCGGGAUUUAAUCUGCUUGUUUGAUAUUCAUUUGUCUAUCGCCGUCUGAAUACGCACAUUGAAUCUGCAUCUCCCACCAGCAUCGACACCACCUGCAUAUGCACCGCACCGUCUCAUCAGCACCCUAUCCGUUUUCUGCACCCUUCAGCAGUUGCACUGUAUCCGCACCAACUCGGUCUGCAAUUUGGAAUGGAAUUGCUGCAUUGUUUUACGUGAUCAGGAGAACACCCCAUGUAAAAAAAAAAAAGGAAAGGAAAAGCAAAGCAAAGAAAAGGAAAAAAGUAUGGCUGGUUUGAGGCUUAGGCCCACACGGGCCAAGAAAAAAUAUGGUUUUGAAUAUGGUUUUUUGUUUGUUUGUUCGGAAGUUGGAAUUUGCAUUGGCAUUGAAAUCUUGUACUUGCACCGGUGAAAUUUUGUAUUGAAAUUGGCAUCGGAAAUUGGAAUCGGCAUCGGCAUCGGAAUUUGGAGGUUUGCAUCUACAUCUACUUUGGCAAACCCAUGUUGUGAACCGCCAUGAGUUUGACGGGGGUGUUGGAAAAUAUUAUUAUUUAGUUUAUUUUAAUGUUUGGUAUUUUGGGCUUAGCCCGUUAGAAUUAGGUUUUGUUAGAGAUUAGGGUUAGUUUAUUAUAAAUAGGGUGCUUUGUUAUUCAUUAGAAAAUAAGUCAUUCAUAAUGUAGUCUCUAGGGUUUUUGUAGCCGUCUCGGCAUUCUCAAUUUGUUCAAUAAAAUUCAUAUUAUUUUGUAGUCUUGUUUGUUCCGCACUCUGAUAUUCAACUUGUAAUUGUUUAUAUCUAGCAACUAAUCAUGGCUUAGUUAUUAAGUGAUAGAAUAACCUUGAACUGUUUGAUAAAGAUGCAUGGGAGAAAGAAUGAAUAUAUCAAAGAGCUUUUGAUAAGAACUCAACCAAUUAAUCAAAAAGGGAAAAGGGGAAAAGAAAAAGAUGUUUAAAAAUGCCUGCCCUAAGAAUAGAAAAGGUAGUUGGCUUGCUGGAAUUGGUAGGUGGAGGAGUGAUGAACGGAAUGUAGGUGUUAUUGGUAUGUAGUGGAAGUGGUGGUGAAUGAGUGAAGAAAGAAAGGGUUAAGGUGCUAGCUGUAUGGACUAGGAUUAUGUGGAAGAAAUGGAAAGAUUGAAAGGGUUAAGGUGCUAGCUGUAUGGACUAGGAUUAUGUGGAAGAAAUGGAAUGUUAAAUUGCUUUUGGGGAUAGGAUGGUGUCCUUAGAUUUUUGUUCUUUUCUCUUCAUACAACUAUACUGUAAUUCUAAGGAGACUUUCUCAAAAGUAAGACUCUUCAUGAACUUUCUGCAACCUUAUUAUUUGGCACAAUGUUUUGUAAUGUUGACAUGAGAAUUGACAUAAACUAUGAGGUGGUAAAGAGUCUAUGGAGGAUCUUACUUUUGAGAGAAUAUCCUUAGCAUUUCUAUGUAAGGAAAUGAAUUGUACUAAGUCGCACAAUAAAUCAGCAAUAAUUUAGAAUCGAAGUUGUAUUUGCAAGAGUCAAACAUAACCUACUUACAUGUAAAAAAUAAUAUGAGUAGACCGUAGUACUAGUAGUUUCUGUUUUUAUUUAAUUUUUUAUAUUUUUUUAUUGUGGGUUAAAGGAUUAAAGGAGAAUGGGCUUCUAGUGGUGGUUCAUGGUGGGGAUACAAUGCAUGUGACAAAACAACAUAAAUAGGAAAGUGAUGUUCACAUGGUUCUUUAGCCCCACAUAAAAAUUGGGAAAGCGAGAGAGUUUUUGCAUUUUUCGUACAUAGGAUUACAAAUUUGGUUCAAUACAUUCUGUGUUCGGUUAGUCUUUUGCUCAUUUCAGCUUCGAUUCCUCUGAAUUAAUGCUCAAGCAAAAUUUAGACUCGUUACAAAAGUACGAAAUUAUGAUCGAUGCUUAAAAUUUUUUAUUAUAUAUUUUUUAAAAUGAUAAAAACAAUAUUCUAAUCAACGAAUUUGUUUUUGUAAAAGAAACAAAUUCAACUCGAACAAAAUUUUAGACUCGUCAAAGAAAUAAGCUAUCUCGGAUUUAAGUAUCAUAUUCUAGUAAGUAAACUUGUGGGCAACUCAUUUUUUACUAUGAGAUAAUCUGGACAUGGAUUCAAGCUUAGUUUUUUCUUCAUACUUCAGUCAUAAACUUUUGAACGUUAGAGACCAAGGAAUUUAAGGAUUUUUGGCUAUGUGUCUAUGUUCUCGAGGCGGCGAUAUUAAAGUUACAACCAUAAAGACAUCUUACUAUUACUAAAUUCUAUGCUCAAGACAUGACAGGUAUAAAUUUGCUUGCACUAUUUUUUUCUCACUCACACUAAGAAUUUGAAGACUUGAGGUGGUUACAUCUGGAGUGGAAUACUAUUACCUAGCAGUGUUUACAUAACUAAAACACAAAAUUUGUACUUACAUGAUUGAUUGACAUCUUCUUGAUUUCUAUGAAUGGGGAAGCAUUAUAUUUAUAGCAUAUAGAACCAAUACAAUCCUAAUAGCACCCCCCGCCCCCCGCCCCCCGCCCCCCCGCCCCCCGAGCGCGCGCGCACACAUAUAUAUUACGUAAUGAGUCCAUAUAAGUCCACAAGGGAUGCUUAUACAUCAAUAUUACCUUGAUUAGCUAAGCCCAAAAACAUCGGGAAAUCACUUUAGCCCAGAUUUCCUGUUUUCAGUAAACCUUAGACACUACUACAAUAUUAGUUUUAAGUGGCAGAUAUUAGAAACUCCUGUCGGAUAAAUUAUAUCCGACACAUCAUUUAAUUACUGGCGGAUAUUAUAAAAAUCCUAUCGGUUAUAUCCGACAUCAAUUCCUGUCGGAUAUUACUGGCAGAUAGAAAGAAAAUACUGUCGGAUAUAACCGACAAUAUUUUUGAAUCUUUUUUUAAAUAUUUUUACAUAUUCUGACAGUUUUUAAGUUAAUGAUGGCGGUUAUAACCGACAAAAAUUGACUAUUUUAUUAUUUUACUUUAUGGCGGUUAUUAUUUUAGUAUUUUAGUGGAAAAAUGCUUUGUUAUUGUUGUUGUCGUUGUAAUAUUUAACCCCAAUUAUUAUUUAUUUCAUGAAUAAUAAAAUUUGUUUGUUGAAUUUUAGUUUAGUUUAUAAAAUGGUGGGAGUUCAAGUGCAAGACACCAAGUGACCCACUGAAGUUCUGAACAGUGAAUGUCAACUGCCAAGCCACUCGGGCACUUGCGUACAUAGGUUUGGUUUAGUGGAAAACGAGCAAAGUUUAGAACUCAAACUUUGAGUUUGAGCUCUUAGAAUGUAUUUUUUGUCAUCAUUGGUUCUAAUUUAACAUACAAUUUAACUCAGAAAUCGAAAAUACACAACUGCACUCGCAUUAUGUGGUACAGAGAUUGUAUGAAAGGGGAGAUUAGUUGGCCGUCCAUAGAUAUAUGAAUUGUCACAUUCAUUUACCUCUAUUUGGAGUUUGUUAUUUUUCCCCUACAAUUAUCUUUUAUCAUCCAUGCGUGAUAAAUAUGAUGUAGUAUUUUCAUCUGUUAGUGUAGUUUGGACAUAUGCACUCAAUAAUAUGGUUUGUACCUUCAUUUUUGAGUGUUUUUAGUCGAGAUGGUGAGAGGUUGACAAUACAUGAUUGGAAAAAAAAAUAUUAAAUAGUGUUAUUGACACUUUAAAAAAGUUAUUUGACACUCUUUUCAAGUGUGUUUGUAUUUUUUCUCUUGUAUUUCUAUAUGGUUAGAGUGCACAAUAAUUAUUUUGAAUUGUCAAUAAUGGCUCCUUAAUGUUAUUCCAUUUUAAUGUCUUAAAUUUUAGAGAUCUAUCAUCGGAGAAAAUCUUAUAGGUUUCCAAAUUCUCUUGUAUCUAGAUAUCAUUCUUUAUCAAAUGUUUAUGAUUUAAACUUGUUUGGUAACAAUUUUUUUUUAGCUUUCAUUUUUCUUAAAAUAGUGAAAACAAUUACCAAAUAAGUUUUUCAGUUUGCAAGUAGGUGAACUAAUAUGGUGUUGAAUUUCCACCCAUCCGUUAUGAGUUCGAAACUUCAUUCCUUAAAUUAUUGUAAUAGUUUCAAACAUUUUCCCUCCCUUUAAUAAUAAUUUUAAAAAAGUUCUUCAAUUUUCAAAAAAUUGAAAGAAAACAAAUGAAGGCUUCAUUUCUUUUAAGAGACAUGACUUUGAAGCUUCAUUGGGCAGUAAGGGGAAAAAAGUUUUAUCGAUGUGACCUAGAUUAAUUAUCUUUGACAUCUUCCUAUAUAACUCAACCGGUGGCGAAGCAAUAAUUUGGGGGGGGGGGGGUGGGUAUGAAAAACUCGUCAACCACUUCCAUAGUCUCGUCCAUUUCUUUGCAUUUGGAAUACAAUUCAAUCAAUGCAUAACUAACAAACAUAUUCAAUCCAACCUUGUCAUGUUUCUUCACAAACCCAUGUAUUUUUUUCUCAUAUGUGAGUGCCUUAACCUCUCACAUGCCUUCUGAGCGAUAGGAAUGGUGAAAUUAUCGAGUUUUUCAUCAUUGCCUCUUAACUCAAAUAUCAUGUUAUGGAAGAGAUACAAGGUGUCUUCCCAUCGAUUCUCUUUACAAUAACUCAUGAGUGUGGCAUUCAAGAGAGAGACAGUUAAGUGGGGGUGUUUCAUUAAACACCUUGUAGCAUGACUGAGUGACUCAUAUAAACAUAAGUAUGCCUAUGGGGCUCUAUUCACUCACUCAACUUUGCAUUAAAAUGUGCAUUGAAAAAAGUUUCAUAGAAUGUGUAUCGCAUCAAAACGGAAGAUUAAAUAAACACUUAAGAGUUAAUGUUAUACUUCCAUUAAGUAUAAAAUAAGAUAUCCACUAGUGUAAAUAUUUUAAAUUGAAGAUCAAAUUUAUUCAUUGCAUUCUUAUAGGGUCGAGGAGCGUAGUUGUAAAAAAUCAUUAAAAUCGACGCUAAAAUAACCAUUAAAUUGUGAUUUUUCAUUUAUAACCGUCGAAAACUUUUGUUCCGUUACGUAAUAUGUGAAUGUUUGUUUUUUACGAUUUUUUACGUAUGCAAUCUUGGAGUGUGUACAAAUAAGUUUGACGGUUCGAUCGUUGAAAACACUUCGUAGAAUGCGUAUCGCAUGAAAACGGUAGAUUAAACAAACACUUAAAGUUAAUGUUAUAUUUCCAUUAAGUAUAAAAUAAGAUUUAUCCAUUAGUGUAAAUAUUUUAAAUUGAAGAUCGAAUUCGUUCAAUGCAUUCUUAUAGGGUCGAGGAGUGUAGCUAUAAAAAAUCAUCAAAAUCAGAGCUAAAGUAACCGUUAAAUUGUGAUUUUUCGUUUAUAACCGUUGAAAACUUUUGUUUUGUUACCUAAUCUCCUAAUGUUUGUUUUUUGUGAUUUUUUACGUAUGCGAUCUCAAAGUGUGUACAAACAAGUUUGACGGUUGGAUUGUUGAAAAACGCUUCGUAGAAUACGUAUCGCAUCAAAAUGGUAGAUUAAACAAACACUUAGUGUAACAUCCCACAUCGCUUAGGGGAGCGAUCCUUAAAUGUAUAUUCCUAUCCCUACCUAGCACGAGGCUUUUUGGGAGCUCACUGGCUUCGGGUUCCGUCGGAACUCCGAAGUUAAGCGAGAAGGGAGAAGGGGGCUAGAGCACUCCCAUGAUGGGUGACCCACUGGGAAGUUGCUCGUGAGUUCCCAGAAACAAAACCGUGAAGGCAUGGUCGUGGCCCAAAGCGGACAAUAUCGUGCUACGGUGGUGGAGCGGGCCUGGGAAGUGGUCCGCCCCGGGCCGGGAUGUGACACUUAGAGUUAAUGUUAUACUUCCAUUAAGUAUAAGUGUAAAUAUUUUAAAUUGAAUAUCAAAUUUAUUCAUUAGACAAUAUUUAUUUAUGUUUUUCAAGUAUUGAUUAGACAAUAUUUAGUUUGUGUGAUGACAUUUUCAUGGUACAAUUCUUCUUUUGUUUCUUUAUCGCAUAUUUUACAUGGAUUAUUCUCUAUUAAACCAAAAGUGUAAAAAUUAUAUAUAUAGAUAAUAAUUUAAAUAAUUUAUUUAUUUAUUAAUUUUUAAAAACAUAUUCUAUUUAAAUACAUAUUAUUUAUUUAUUUAUUUUAAAAAUUAUUCUCUAUUAAUUCUUUUUUUGUUUCUUUAUCGCAUAUUUUACAUGUAAAAAGAUAUUAUUUAAAUACAUAUUCUAUUUAAAUACUAUUUGGAUCCAAAUUUACACCAUUGGCCUGUGAAAUCAAGGCCGUUGAGUGAACAUAGCUCCCGACUGUUGGAUCAAGAAAUAAAGGUCAUUAUUAAAAGAUAAUGAUUUUUAAAGUUAUGAUUUUUAUCAUAAUUAUCUUUUAAUAAUGAUUUAUUAUGAGAUGUAUAUCUUGAAGUAUAACAGCACGGCAUCAGAUAAAUGAGGUCACUUGGAAACUACUGAGGGGAUUGGAUUAUGGUCAGAUUAUUAUCCAUUUAAAUAUGGUGAUAAUUAAAAGUGAUUUUAAUAUUCAUAGGGUCAAGUUGCAUGCGACAAUGGGGUAAGGAAAUAGCUACUUUGGGUGAUGAUGAUGCGACAAGACCUAGAAAAGCUAGUUUUUUUUUUAUUUUUUAUUUUUUAUUUUUUUUAUUUUUUAUUUUUUAUAAUGGUGUUAUGAUGACAUAGGAAAGCCUAGCUAGCCUAGGUUUCCAGUCAUGAUAAAAUAAGUCAGAAUGGUUUUUUUUUAUUUUAAAAAGUCAGCCAUAUGAAGAUAGGCUUUAGCGCCUAUGCCGUGGAUCAGUCACUUUACGAGUUUGAGUUUUAGUCAUUUUCUGCAACAUUAUCUGACUGUGGAGAGCA